This 201-nucleotide non-coding RNA is filed under the name Bacillus sp. (in: firmicutes). The record is from RNAcentral. Lineage: Bacteria; Bacillati; Bacillota; Bacilli; Caryophanales; Bacillaceae.
UAGCGAUUUGAAAUAGUUGGUGUCACAAUUGUGACUUAAUAGGGAAUUUGGUGCGAUGCCAAAACUGUCCCCGCAACUGUAAAUGUGGACGAAAUGAGAUUACCACUGUAUGAACGGGCUUAAGAACUAGGUCCCCAUAUGGGAAGGCUCAAAGUAGGAAGAAGCAUAAGUCAGUAGACCUGCCAAUUAUGAUACCUGUUU